GACGAACGCUGGCGGCGUGCCUAAUACAUGCAAGUAGAACGCUGAAGGAGGAGCUUGCUUCUCUGGAUGAGUUGCGAACGGGUGAGUAACGCGUAGGUAACCUGCCUGGUAGCGGGGGAUAACUAUUGGAAACGAUAGCUAAUACCGCAUAAGAGUAGAUGUUGCAUGACAUUUGCUUAAAAGGUGCAAUUGCAUCACUACCAGAUGGACCUGCGUUGUAUUAGCUAGUUGGUGGGGUAACGGCUCACCAAGGCGACGAUACAUAGCCGACCUGAGAGGGUGAUCGGCCACACUGGGACUGAGACACGGCCCAGACUCCUACGGGAGGCAGCAGGAGGGAAUCUUCGGCAAUGGACGGAAGUCUGACCGAGCAACGCCGCGGGAGUGAAGAAGGUUGUCGGAUCGUAAAGCUCUGUUGUAAGAGAAGAACGAGUGUGAGAGUGGAAAGUUCACACUGUGACGGUAUCUUACCAGAAAGGGACGGCUAACUACGUG
This 495-nucleotide ribosomal RNA is filed under the name uncultured bacterium. Its description in RNAcentral is "partial 16S ribosomal RNA". It matches the Rfam family "Bacterial small subunit ribosomal RNA", at positions 28 to 507 of the family's 1533-position model. The record is from RNAcentral.